UCUCUCUCUCUCUCUCUCUUUUAAGAUUAAUUUUCGGAACAACACCUAUAUUUGGACCAUCUAUACCCUCUUAGAGAAGGUGCAACCAAUGGGCUAUAGCCCUGCUUGCCGAGUAGCCCAAAAUCUUGGAUUUCUACAUGGUCUGGACUAUUUGUCAAGUCUACCAUUACAAUCCAUAAUUAUAUUAUAUAGUAUAAUAUAAUAACAAACUAUUUGCUCAUCUAUUUGACUCCAUUAUCCCGUUGUCACAUCAUCAAAAAAGGUCCUUCAACAAUUGUGUUGUUCCUUAUUUUGCUUUUUUUAACAAUUACAGGUGAUAUGCAAAUUUGUAUCUAUCAUAUGAUGUUGUUUUCUAACGAUUACUUGCAUGUGAAGGAUGUAUAUUUGGGUUACAGAGAUCUGCAUGCUCUUUGCUUUUAAUUUCUAACAGUUUGUGUUCAUAAAUGCACAGGUUUCUGGAAUUUUUUCUCUACUAACUCUAAAUUAUCAUGCACUAAAUUGAUUGCGCUCGAUAAUCUUGGAUUUAGUCAGAUUUUUAAAGACAUCAUAAUUAGAUUGUCCAGCACACUUGGAUACAGCUUCAAACCACUACGUGUACUCAACUUUUUGUGCACUUCAGCUAGCAUCUAAACAUCAAUCAUGCGAUACCUUUUCUCUUUGCAUUUACUUUUCAUAGUUUUAAUCAUAAUCUAAAUCAUCAAUGAUGCAUGCAAUAUGCAAGUGUUCUCUUUUUUUCUCUUGCUUGAUCAUGGUAACUUAUGCAUUAAGCAAAAUAUUUAUUUAAUGUUAAGUACUUUUUUGAAUCAAGACCUAUCUCUGUUUGACGUAAAUCAUUCAUUCACCUUAAGCUUAUGGGCCAAAAGCAAUAUUCUCCUCACUCAUAGUUUGCAAUUUGCAUCACACAAAAGAUGCUACGUUUGAAAGGUUAAACACUUAAUAUCGAUUCUCUUUUUGCUCCUCAAUCUGUCCACGUGGUGCAAUUUUUGGAAGAAAGCAACAGAAGAGUCACAUAAUAGUUGAACAACUACUUUUAAUUGUCUGGUACAAGCUGAAACAAUUCAUAGAAUUAAAUAUUUAGACUCCACCCCACCCCCACCUCUUUAACUUGAUUUCAGUAGCUGAGGUGUUAAGCAAAUCAUCCAUUCAAUAUGCAACACAUAUACACUUAGCUUUAAUCAAACCAAAUCGG
This 1189-nucleotide long non-coding RNA is filed under the name Elaeis guineensis (African oil palm). RNAcentral describes it as "long non-coding RNA (EGUI_LNC016566)". Lineage: Eukaryota; Viridiplantae; Streptophyta; Magnoliopsida; Arecales; Arecaceae. The record is from RNAcentral.